GGAUACACAUCAUCCUUUCUUUUCUGAACCAACAUUUGAGCCAAUUCCCCAAUUCCUUCUAUACUCAAAAAAUUGGAAUCGGUUCUCUAUAUCCACAAUAUAGAAGAAUAGAAAAAUUGGCUUAAUGACUUAGUGGGAUUUGGGAAUUAGGGAUUGUUGCCUAGUGUCUGCUCACUUAGUAUAUAUAUAACAUAAUACAGUGGGGUCAUGUUUCUUAGUAUACAUGUUCACUUUAGACCCUCUUAAUAUUUUUUUUCCUAAUAUGACCCUCUUAAUUUUUUUUCCUCCUAAUAUGACCCCUGACCCCCUGAAAAUUCAGUGGGGUCAGGUGCCCCC
This 336-nucleotide long non-coding RNA is filed under the name Panax ginseng (ginseng). RNAcentral's name for it is "long non-coding RNA (PGIN_LNC013765)". The record is from RNAcentral. Lineage: Eukaryota; Viridiplantae; Streptophyta; Magnoliopsida; Apiales; Araliaceae.